This 552-nucleotide ribosomal RNA is filed under the name Trichosporon sp. 02NH01. RNAcentral describes it as "eukaryotic LSU rRNA". The stretch from base 177 to 330 matches the Rfam family "5.8S ribosomal RNA". Lineage: Eukaryota; Fungi; Basidiomycota; Tremellomycetes; Trichosporonales; Trichosporonaceae. The record is from RNAcentral.
UAGAGGAAGUAAAAGUCGUAACAAGGUUUCCGUAGGUGAACCUGCGGAAGGAUCAUUAGUGAUUGCCAUCUUGGCUUAAACUAUAUCCAUCUACACCUGUGAACCGUUUGAUUGAAUCUUCUGAUUCAAUUUUACAAACAUUGUGUAAUGAACGUCAUUAGAUCAUAACAAAAAAAAACUUUUAACAACGGAUCUCUUGGCUCUCGCAUCGAUGAAGAACGCAGCGAAAUGCGAUAAGUAAUGUGAAUUGCAGAAUUCAGUGAAUCAUCGAAUCUUUGAACGCAACUUGCGCUCUCUGGUAUUCCGGAGAGCAUGCCUGUUUGAGUGUCAUGAAAUCUCAACCAUUAGGGUUUCUUAAUGGCUUGGAUUUGGAGGUUGCCAUUCUAAAUGGCUCCUCUUAAAGGAGUUAGCAAGUUUUACUAUUGCUAUCUGGCGUAAUAAGUUUCGCUGGAAUGGUAUUGUGAAGCGUGCUUCUAAUCGUCUUCGGACAAUUACUUUGACUCUGGCCUCAAAUCAGGUAGGACUACCCGCUGAACUUAAGCAUAUCAAUAG